CUUUCUAACCUCCUAAGGCCCAAGGUCCUUCCUAUAGUAAUAAUUAAGUUGGUCAUUCAGACCCAGCUUCUUCAACGACUGUAUAGUCAUAGCGUACCACGGUCCUACCAGUAGGACUUAUUAUAAAAGCCAUCAUUUUGAUUUCAAAUUGCGCACCAAUCUAAACUGACGUAUACGAUUUUCUAGAGGGGUAUUUUAGUUUGAAUGUGAACACACUUAUAAGCUUGAAAAAUAAAAACAAAGUGUCAAACUGACAAGUUACAGACGGCGACAUGGGUAUUCCGUGAAGGAGAGGAUUAAAUGACAGAGAAACAUAAUUCGCUCUUAGGGAAUCAGAAAUAGAAACUGAAGAU
Molecule: long non-coding RNA, 353 nt
Organism: Leguminivora glycinivorella
Lineage: Eukaryota; Metazoa; Arthropoda; Insecta; Lepidoptera; Tortricidae
Exons: 2
Source: RefSeq, a predicted model, not a curated record